AGUUACUGAUAGUUACAGUAAAGUUGACUAUUGAAAAGCGUGUUUUGAGAGACACCAGUUUCAAGUGUCAUCAGAUUUUGAAAGAACGUGCUUCAACAUGAAUAAGGGUACGAGCGACAUGAAGCGAAACCCAAGGGAGACUGCAAACAUGUUCAGUGCUCUAUUUUUCUGGUUUGUCACGAGUAUUAUACCUGAGAAUAUAUUUGGCAAAAGAAA
Wasmannia auropunctata (little fire ant) is the source of this 216-nucleotide long non-coding RNA. RefSeq lists it as uncharacterized. Lineage: Eukaryota; Metazoa; Arthropoda; Insecta; Hymenoptera; Formicidae. The transcript has 2 exons. The record is from RefSeq and is a predicted model, not a curated record.